CGGGACGCUGGAGGUCCGGAGAGCCGCCUGCCGAGCCCUGCGAGCGGCCCUGCAGCACCGAGCAGGUGGUGAGGAGAGAGAGAAGCGGAGAUUCCCCUCCCUUCUGCGGUGUGUCCCCUGGGGCAGGAGGAGCUGGAGAAGAGGCCGAUCGGCUAAUGCUGCCAACAACCUUCAUGAAGGUGGCCUGCAAGACCCCAAGGAGGGAGUGGCUCUGACCGGCAUGUCGCUAAACGGAAACUGUGAAGAAGCAAGCAGAGGCACAGGCGCUUAAAGCUCCUGGAUGGCGUCAAGGCAACACCCUUGCUGAUUUGCUCUUAUAGCAUGAGGAUGACGGGCUGAAUUCACCCUGGUGAUCUUCUGGAAAGGGGACAUGGAAGCCAUCUCCCAGCUCUUGGGAAAAGCUGCUACCUUCUGUAGCAACAGUGUCUGAGCCAGAUAACCGUCCUGCUCCCACCUCACCAUUGCUGCAGCAAAACCCAGAGGAGGAUCAUGUUCUACCACCUGGUAGAGUUCAUUUGUAGAUGCAUCCAAUGGGAUUUCUUAAAGGCCCACAGUCCAUUUUAGCAUUUUACAGGAUGUGUGAUGGUGCAGGAAUCCCAGGUAUAAAAUGUGCUCAGCUGCUAGAAGAGAGAGUCUCUCAUUUGAAUAACAAAAUUCCCCUCCAAGAGGCCUUCUGGGUUUCUUUGCUGAUGAAAGCAAUCUUCUGCCUUGCCCUCCUGCUUUAUUGCUGUUCUAAAGCUCCAGAUAACGGCCUCAAUAGACCUUCCAUUUCUGUUAUGGCUUCCCCAUUAGGAAACAAUAGGCAAGUGGGGGAGAAAGCGAUAAGAGCUGCAGGGAGGUCAUGGUGCACCUGCUCAUCUCCAUAUACAGACCUUGGAACAUACUGGUGAGUUGAAGAAGAUUGAAUGCAAUAAUCUAAUGUGAAGAAAGGCAAUAAUUGCUACUGUCAUGCCGGACAAUCAUGUGCACGAUGCAGAAGUCACUGAUGGUCAUGUCAAUAGGAGAGCGGUCUGAGAGAGCCGUUCAUUCCAUACGGCUAAUCCUGGUGCUAAGUGAGUGAUUUACAGAUUGCAUUGGAGGCAGAGCAACCAACAGUGCUUAUAGCAUUUCCACAUUCUGAUGAGGGUGACAGAUGUCCAUUUCCCCCCCACCCUUGAACUUCUUAACCAUGGGAUCCCAACAACCACAUGGCUUUCAGGCCCCGAAGAUCACCCUAUAGGUUCAUCUCUCUUAAAGAUGUGACUUA
This is a non-coding RNA of Chelonoidis abingdonii (Abingdon island giant tortoise), 1246 nucleotides long. Lineage: Eukaryota; Metazoa; Chordata; Testudines; Testudinidae. The record is from RefSeq and is a predicted model, not a curated record.